CUGCCUCCAUUGCCCUAACUUGUUUCUCUACUGCCGCCAUUGUCUUAAGCUGUUUUGCUACCUAUCUACUAGUGUUUUGUCGUUGUCCCGCUGCCAUUGUUCUGUUGUCGUCAUCUUGCUACCGCUUUUCUACCAUUAUUUUGCUGCUGUUUUGCCAUUAUCUUGCUGCCAUCGUUACUAUUGUCUUGCUGCCAUUUUGUCACCACAUUUCUUAGAUUUGCUCGUUCAACAAAACUUCAAAGAAGUAAGGUAUUUUUCACCUUCUCUUUUCCAUUUUUUCUUUUCUAAUUCUAAGGAAAAAUAUGAAAAAAAUGGAAGUUGAUUUUAC
This 328-nucleotide long non-coding RNA is filed under the name Ricinus communis (castor bean). RNAcentral describes it as "long non-coding RNA (RCOM_LNC002054)". Lineage: Eukaryota; Viridiplantae; Streptophyta; Magnoliopsida; Malpighiales; Euphorbiaceae. The record is from RNAcentral.